This 399-nucleotide ribosomal RNA is filed under the name Cutaneotrichosporon curvatum. Its description in RNAcentral is "eukaryotic LSU rRNA". The stretch from base 55 to 208 matches the Rfam family "5.8S ribosomal RNA". Lineage: Eukaryota; Fungi; Basidiomycota; Tremellomycetes; Trichosporonales; Trichosporonaceae. The record is from RNAcentral.
UCAAUAUUUUUACAAACAUUGUGUAAUGAACGUACAUGUUAUAAUAACAAAUAUAACUUUCAACAACGGAUCUCUUGGCUCUCGCAUCGAUGAAGAACGCAGCGAAAUGCGAUAAGUAUAGUGAAUUCCAGAAUUCAGUGAAUCAUCGAAUCUUUGAACGCAACUUGCGCUCUCUGGUAUUCCGGAGAGCAUGCCUGUUUGAGUGUCAUGAAAUCUCAACCAUUAGGGUUUCUUAAUGGCUUGGAUUUGGACGUUUGCCAGUCAAAUGGCUCGUCUUAAAAGAGUUAGUGAAUUUAACAUUUGUCUUCUGGCGUAAUAAGUUUCGCUGGGCUGAUAGUGUGAAGUUUGCUUCUAAUCGUCCGCAAGGACAAUUCUUGAACCCUGGCCUCAAAUCAGGAG